RNAcentral lists this unclassified non-coding RNA (88 nucleotides) under Yersinia enterocolitica (type O:3) str. YE12/03. The record is from RNAcentral. Lineage: Bacteria; Pseudomonadati; Pseudomonadota; Gammaproteobacteria; Enterobacterales; Yersiniaceae.
GAGGGCUUAAUGAGAUGGUCACCCCCACCCUGUGAGCGGUACGCUGGCAGGGUGGGGGUGACCAUCUCAUUAAGGCCCCGCAGGGCCU